Uranotaenia lowii is the source of this 1623-nucleotide long non-coding RNA. RefSeq lists it as uncharacterized. The record is from RefSeq and is a predicted model, not a curated record. NCBI's taxonomy places the organism in Eukaryota, Metazoa, Arthropoda, Insecta, Diptera, Culicidae. The transcript is spliced from 2 exons.
CAGGUGAUAUGCGCUCUACUGAAUAUCCGGAUCCUUGAUUUUCCUAACACUUUGUGAGCGAACCUUGUUUUCAUAGUGGAGUGAUCUUCUUCCCCCGCUGCAGAAGCCUGGAAUCGAUGCUUCGAGGGGCAUCAGGAAUGUAUCUUGUCCACAUGACAUUGUUUGUAAUACCUGUGACUCCCACGACGGUUCAAGGAUUGGGAUAACCAUGAUAACUUAUCUAAAACUUAAAUUUGUGUUGGCUGACACUGGUGAGAGAAAAAGUUUUUUUUUUAUUUUUCUUUAUAUAGUAUUCCGUCUCACGACAUAACUUGACGAACAUAAUUCCUAAAAUUCACUCGGUCCAUGGCAACCGUUCUCCAAUUCCUCGGGCACCCCACGUUCGCCAGAUCACGCUCUACUUGGUCUAACCACCUCGCUCGCUGCGCCCCCGCUCGUCUUGUUCCUACCGGAUUCGUACACCGAAAAAAAAAAAUCAUGGUAACCGUUACCAUAUCCGAGGGUAAAUUUAAAAAUAAAAACAGAUGGUUUUUUUUCGAGUACAUUUUUGUUUAUCUUGAACAACACAUUAGUUAAAAUUACCAUGUGAACGUGUUAUGGUGCGUUAUGGCAGAAUGACGGUCAAUUUUACUAUGCCAUGGUAUUUAAGACAAAACUAUGGUAAUUUAUCCAUGCAUUCAAUGAAAUCAUUUAAAUUUUUAAAAUGCUGGUUUAAUUAUUCAUCACUUUUAUUUUUUUCUUCACAAAUAAUAUUUUUGUCAUUAACACUGGAUCAGGAACUAAAUGGCAAAACCUAACUUGAUGAAGGUUCCUUCGACAUUUUGUUUCCGGUGUUCCGCGGUUGUCCCAACACACUAAAAUUGCAAAAAUUCUGCUCGGGAAUCUGACCCUCCGAAUCACAGGAAAAUGCUUCAUCCUCACGAAAUUCGAAAGGAUAUCUGAUCGAAUCUCGUAACGUUUUGUUUAACCUGACAUCCAGUAUUGAAUGUUUACGAGUGCACGGGUACUCGAACAAUCGUCCAGAAAUUCAGGACAGUGCCCACAUGUGCCACAGGCUCAUCUGGUUUCGCGCGUUUUUUGCCGAUGCCGAUGAACAAGUAGCUGUUACUAUCCUUUUUCUAUCGUGUGCGGUGUCACAGCUGCAUCGUUAUUUUUUUUUCAAGUUUAGUUUCAAAUUUUCUAAAAGUGGAUGUGUGAAGGAAGACUCGCCUCGCCCCAGUAAGUGUAACUUGGCACAAAAACCCAGCGGAGAAUAAUCGCAGCAACGAUAGACUGAAAGCCGAUUAGGAAAAAUUGAGGCCUGCUAAACGUACGGCUUUCGGCAGACGGUUCAACCAAAGGUUCAACUGAAUAGCGUUGCAGAAUAACCAUGCAGCCUUUUCCGUGAAAUGCAGAAUGGUGAAAGUGCAAGGAAACAAUUCCACCCAGAGCAUGAGGCAACAAGUCCCACCGGCCAGGAAGUGGAAUAAAUCACAAUGAGGAAUGCCACCACCGAUCCAGAAAAGUGUGUUAUUACCUUCCGGUUACUCUAUAAUAAAGUGAUUUAAAAGUGUUAUUUUUAAUGUGUUCUGUGUGAAAUGAUAGUGCAAAAUAAAAGUUGUAAAAUAAAUUUAAGUUUCAACA